CCUUCUUCGGCCUCUCUCUGCUUUGCGUUCUCACUCUCGUUGCCAAGCUGCCCACUCCAAUCCUCCAUCCUCUCCAUCCUUCCUCUCAAUCCCUACCAAAAAUGGAUUCGGUAGGAGUGAUGCUCACUAGUAGGUUAGGUGAGCGAGCACCUCAGAGAAGGGGUGGGAUUAGAGUCGUAAGGGUUUGGCGCUGCCGGUGGCAGUGUCGGAAUUGGAGGCGAUGUCUUUCAGAGAGAAGCCCGUACAGGAUAGAGUAGCGCUCCUCGGCCACGAUGGUGACGCCGCUCGCCGGGGAUCGACCUUCGAGGGG
This 310-nucleotide long non-coding RNA is filed under the name Setaria italica (foxtail millet). RNAcentral's name for it is "long non-coding RNA (SITA_LNC002034)". Lineage: Eukaryota; Viridiplantae; Streptophyta; Magnoliopsida; Poales; Poaceae. The record is from RNAcentral.